AUUAUAUUUUUUAGAAAGCUGACUACCUGCAUAAGCUAGAGGAAGAGAAAGCGAAAGCAGUUCUUGAAUCUCUGGACAAAUCAGACAAAGAAAACAUAUCGGAUUUGGAAACACUGAAGUUCCUGGAUAAAGCUGACAAAAUUGCACGUAAAAAAACUGGUGGAGGGUG
Melitaea cinxia (Glanville fritillary) is the source of this 169-nucleotide long non-coding RNA. RefSeq lists it as uncharacterized. The transcript has 3 exons. NCBI's taxonomy places the organism in Eukaryota, Metazoa, Arthropoda, Insecta, Lepidoptera, Nymphalidae. The record is from RefSeq and is a predicted model, not a curated record.